This is a non-coding RNA of Nothobranchius furzeri (turquoise killifish), 5234 nucleotides long. The record is from RefSeq and is a predicted model, not a curated record. NCBI's taxonomy places the organism in Eukaryota, Metazoa, Chordata, Actinopteri, Cyprinodontiformes, Nothobranchiidae.
ACCAAGAUCCAGGAUGAGGAGUGCACCUAGAGACUGAGUGAGAUGAUCCAGGGCCGGAAGAGCGACAGCUUCAACAACCCGCGGGAGCCGAGAGCAGGAAGGAGGCAGCCGUGUCAGAGGAAGAGGCCGAGUUCAAGGUCAAGCUAGAACCCGUGGGGGUCUGCUCGCUGACCUUACACGGGAUGACUUAGAAAGGGUCCAACAACUCCGGCAACAGUUGGUGGCAGUUUAAGAGGCUAGGAUAAAGAGACUGACGCUAGAAGAGUGCCAACAGCUUCUACAAAGAUAUCUCACACGGGAACCUAGUCUAAUUUUUGAUCUGAUGAGUCUCACCCCUGAUCACCCUCAACCUGGAUCUUGUCCUCCACAGUCACCCAGCUGGUGUGUCUGUCUACAGUGCAGAAAUAUGGCAAAAAUGCUGUCAACAACAACCACAGAACUGUACGUCACUGUUGCCACACAUGGACUUAAACAUCUUGAAUGAAGGUGCAUUGAGAUUGGCCAGACGAAUCUGGAACAACCUUAGAGCAAAGGUUGACAUCCACGAUCCGGGAGAAAGCCAUAGGCAGUUCUGCUAUGCUGAGUCCUGUCAGUGAAAUAAGAGUAGAACCAGAGGAGCACCAUACCAGAAACCCCCAGAGAUGCCAACCUAGCCAACAGAGUGGAGUGAUAGCUUGUAUCAAAAGCAACGCUAAGAUCCAAAGAACCACAAUGGAAAUUAGUCCAUAAUCAGCUGCCAUUAGCAAAUCGUUAGGGUUAUUUUGAUGAGGACAGUUUCUGUACAGUGAUGAGGAAGGAAACCUGACUGAAACUGUUCGAAUAGAUUAUUGGGAGUUAAAUGUCAACGGAGCUGUGAAACUACAGUUUUCUUCAGGAUUUUUGAAAGAAAAUGGAGAUUAGAAAUGGGUCUUAAACUAUUUAGGUCAUCAGGAUCAAACCCAGAUUUUUUCAGUAUAGGGCUAAUUAUAGCUGACUUCAGUGACUGAUGGACAUCACCAGUAACAAGAGAGGAGUGGAUAAUUGAUACAAUAAGUGAAAGCAAGGCCGACACAGAAGUUUUAAGUAAACUAGUAGGGAUGGGACCCAGAAGACAAGUGGAAGAUUUGGAGCUACGGAUAAGGUCUGCAAUCUCAGAAGCAGAAGGAAGCUCAAACUGAGAAUGUGGAUGUCAGAGGAAAGUGUUCAUCAGAGACAAAGACACCAGAGGAUGAGCCCAUACCCUGGAGAUUUUUUUAAAUCUUUUCAUUAAAAAAUGCUAUCAGCGAGUUACAAAAUUCGACUGAAUAACAGUGUGAGGGUUAAGAGUAAAUCAUGAAUAAAACAUUUGAUAGUAUAGAAGAAACAACAUCUUUUACAUUAUCUGAUUUAGUAAAUAUCCAUAGAAGAUAAUAAAAUGCUUUCAGGUCACCAUCACCAAAAAGAAAAUCUUUCUUCUUUUGACUGGACGCCUUCAUAAACUUGCCACCCUUCGUUCGGUAGUCUGUUUAUUGUUGAGUACACCGACACAAGGUCAAAGAUAAAACCCAAAUUAUCAAAAAAAGUCUAAUUCAUGAUAACCUUUUACCUUGUUAAGCUAGGCAUACACUGCGACUUUUCCACUUUUUUUUUUUUUACCGAUUUUCCCCUCGUGCAAGAAUCUACAAGAUCAAGGCGAAUUUUGCAUUGAGCGUUGUGUAGUAUACGGGGUAACGAUACGCUAAAAUGUUAUUGAAAUGUAGGCACAUUUUUUUAAUAAAAUAUCUAACUAUAAAGGUUGGUUUAUGCUUGACGCGUCCGCGAGGUCCGCACGGCUCCGCGCGGAAAAGUUGCGUCAUUUUAACAACCACGCCCCUCCACCGCGUCUCCGCACGGCCCAAGAUUUCCGCAACGCGCACCUCGGAAAAUUUCUGACCACGCCAAUGGUCGGACGCGGAAAAACAUGGCGGACCGGCAAGAACUAGUAUGGCAGUGGUUCGUAAAUACAGACAUUUGUAUGAUUCAGCUCUCAGAGAUCACCGGGAUCAACAUGUUGUUAAUAAUUCUUGCAGAGAAAUAGCUCGCACCGUCGGAAAAGAAGAGAACGCUGUUAAAAAUGCUGGAAUGCCAUGUUGUAAACAGUAAUUUCUACUUCUACUAUGGUGUAGUGUUGGAUGCAUGCCGUAGAGCUCCAUGCUGCCCCGUUCAGUUUGGGAGAAUAUUGGCUCACCGCAGAGACAAGCCGCACAAACCAUAAACGCUGCGAGUUGUGAAGCGCGUUCCAUCCGCGAGCCGCAUCACAGCGCGGAAAGUGAAUGCGUCAAGCAUAAACCAAGCUUAAAUAUCAGAUGUGAAACGGGGAACUAGACAACACCAAUAUAAUACAUAUUAUAGAACCUUUUAUAACAAGAGUCUGGCAUUUCAGCCUCAUCAUUUUGUUGUUUUGUCUCAUAUUUUAGCAGCAGACCACGGUCUCAUUACACUUGAAACAUUGUCAAAUGGAAUAUUAUAUUAAUGAAAAAUGUUAUAAAACCUCUUAAAAGUUUUUAUCACAGAGGAGGCAGCGCUCAUUUCUGUCUUCAGUCUGACGGCGCGCCGGAGUUUGUGCGGCAUGCGCGCUUAUUGAAUCUCUGUGUUUGUGUGCGCGCGCGGCACAGCUCCAUGAGCCGCUCCAGUCACCGCGUCUCGUUAUCGGCGCUAUUUAAACCAAUGUUGUAAAAUUACUUCUGCCCAGCCCAGAUGUGCUCACUUGUGUACCCGUGAGCCGUGGUUCCGCUGGAACGCGUCUGACCUCUGACAGACGCACUCUGAGCUUCAGAUCUUCAGCGCGCUGUUAAUAGCCUGAAUGGGAAUCAUUUCUUGAUUUAUUUGGUUACAUCCACAAUGUUCUGUGUGUGAGGUUUACAAUGUCAGAGCAUCUGCCUGAGACAGGGUGUUAAUUACAAUCUGCCAGAAUGACUCACCUUCAGAUUCCUCCAACACCGUUAAAAAUGAUCAAAUACGGAACAUAUCGGCGUGCGCAGGCCAGAGUGCUGAAGCUCGGCACAUUGUUAUUAUGAAGCUAGGGCACAUGUGGAGGACACACGCGCAAAAAUAUACUUGUUUUCAAUUACAUUUAUUGUGCCCACUUACUUUUUCUUAGGCCCACCCACAAAUGAGUUUCUGGCUACGCUAAUGGUGACAUAUGACAGACUUCUCUGAGCUCCGCAGCCAUUACACUUUUCACCUCGCGCACCCCCUAGCGGCAGCUCGUGCACCCCCAGGGGUGCACGCACCACACUUUGGGAAUCCCUGCAUUAAAGUACUGCAGCAAUUUCCUAAUGUUCUGAUUUCUCUCACAUAUGGCAAUAAAACAUUCUAACUCUGAAGUUUAGCCUAUUGCACUCACUACGAUGCUCUAUAUACCCAUCAUUAGUUUCUAGUUUGAAGUUAUGUGCCAUCUAAAAAUAAAGACAAGUUUAUUGCUUAUCAAACAACUUUUAAUUAACUUUGUUGUUGUAAAAUAUUAAUACCAUUGACAUAUAUACUGGACAAUUCGUUUAGGCUCCAAUAAUACAUUUAGGCUCCAAUAAUAAGGCUGGGAUCAAAUGACGACACCCGUUGAACUGAAGCGAUGUAGUUCCAAGCUAACCCAAAGCUAACGCGGAGGUGGGAGCUAAGCUAACGGAGGUAGCAACCUAGCUACAACCGGAGUUGACUGUGCACAACACCAGAGCUUCUGAGUCACAGAUACGCCGGGCUGACCGCUGGGUAAAACCAGGUGGAAAACAGAGGUCUCCCAAGAGCUCCACAAGCCAGCAGCCACGCAGCAGACAAGCACCGCUGCGAUCAGAGAUGUGCAGAGCUGCUGCUGGGGAGAACCGGGUGGAAAACAUCGGUUUCCAUCCGAGAGCUCCACAAGCCGGUAGCCCGCGCAGCAGACAUAUGCCGCAGCGAUCAGAGAUGCGCCGAGCUGCGGGGAGAUGACCAUACCGAUAGUCGGAACCCAGCUCCACCAACAUGUUAUAUUUCAACCCAUUUUCUAAAAUGCAGCGUUAUGUUAAAUGCACUGGGUUUUACCCUAUUACAUUUAAAUUUCAUGGUUAAAAAGUACAUGUUAAAAUCUAAGCUCAGCUAGCGCAAGAGCGGCAGUGACCUAAAAUACAUAAAUAUAAUUUUAUUUACAGAAAAAAAUGAAGUGGAAUUAAUACCACAGCAAGUCAUUUUGUCCAACAAUUGCACAAAUAAUAUCCAAAAAAUAAUGCACAAACGCUACAACUUAAUGGUCUAAGUUGAGAGACAGAAAAUCGUGGAAAAGUGUUCAGGCGUGGCCGAGGCUCAGGCUGUCUUUCGCCGGCGCUAGCUCUGCGGUCAUGUGGCUCAUUAAUUAUUCAGAAUUUUAGGCAUUUAAUACACUAAAACAGAAAAGUGACAAAAUCUUUCAUCCCCCUCAGAGUUGUCAUGAGUGUAAACUAGAUCUAUUAAACCUAAAACGUUUUGGAAUCAGGCUUAGCACUCCAGUGGAUAAAAUCUUACCUGUCAAGGAGGAAUUUUUGUGUAAGACUGGGGGACUGUUCAUCUGAUACUGCUGAUUUGCAAUGUGGAGUGCCUCAGGGAUCAGUCCUGGCACCGCUCGUCUUUUCCCUCUAUCUGCUGCCGCUGGGUGACUUGUUUCGUCGGCACAACGUCAAGUUUCACCUGUAUGCGGAUGACUGUCAAAUCUAUUUACCUGUAUCAUGCAAUAACAAGUUCUUUUAAACCGCUCUUGGACUGCUUGGAGGAGGUCAAGUUAUGGAUGGCUCAGAAUUUAUUGUUCUUCAACCAGAAUAAAACUGAGACUAUCCUGUUCGGCCCGAAAUACAAACAUGGAUGUGGCCAAGGGAUUGACUCUCCUUCAUUAGCACCUUUUGAGAAGGCUGUGAUCACCAACCUGGGGGUGAAGUUGGAUGUUGAGCUCACACUGGACAGCCAGGUCAAUGUAACACUCAGAUCCUGCUAUUUCCAUCUCGAGAAUAACUAGGAUUAAGCCGCUUCUUUCACGUAAACAUUUGGAAACGGUCAUCCAUGCCUUCAUUACCACCAGACUGGACUACUGUAACUCACUUUAUGCAGGCAUCAAGCAGGCCUCCAUAGCAAAACUACAGAAGGUCCAAAAUGCGGCAGCCAGGUUACUGACUGGUACCAGGAGAUCAGAACACAUCACGCCUGUCUCGGCAUCCCUACACUGGCUUCCAGUCUCUUUUAGAAUGUUGUUUAAAGUUUUGGUGUUUGUUUUUAAAUGAUUAAAUGGGUUGGCUCCA